CUUCGUGCGAUGUAGGUAGAGCAGCCAGAGGCACGGAGCUUUGCACGACAUAGGGCGAGCGGCGUGGAGCUUCAUGCGACGUAGGUAGAGUGGCCAGAGGCGCGGAGCUUGGCACAACGUAGGUAGAGCGGCCAGAGGCGCGGAGCUUGGCACAACGUAGGUAGAGCGGCCAGAGGCGCGGAGCUUGGCGCGACGUAGGUAGAACGGCCAGAGGCGCGGAGCUUCGCGCGACGUAGGUAGAGCGGCCAGAGGCGCGGAGCUUGGCGCGACGUAGGUAGAGCGGCUAGAGGCGCGGAGCUUGGCGCGACGUAGGUAGAGCGGCCAGAGGCGCGGAGCUUGGCGCGACGUAGGUAGAGCGGCCAGAGGCGCGGAGCUUCGCGCGACGUAGGUAGAGUGGCCAGAGGUGCGGAGCUUCGUGCGACGUAGGUAGAGCGACGCAGUGUCAGUGUAGACACCUCAUUUAGUGUCUACAUUGGACUUGGUAUCACACAACAUUUUGAUUAAAAAGCUAGAAUGAUAUAAAAUGAACCUGUCCCACAGGAAAUGGAUUAAAAACUGGCUAAGUGGUAGAUCUCAAAAGGUAAUUGUAAAUGGGGGUUCUCAUUAUCAAGCGAGUUUGUUUCCAGUUGGGUCCCACCAGGAUGGGGUCUUGGAGUGGUGAAUAACGAAGAGGACAAGUCAGUGAUACAGUGAUCUGAAGCACUAUACAUUUCAGUACGGCUAAAUGUAAAUGUAUCACUCAGAAUAAAGGAUGCAGGCCCCAGUUACAGGUGUCAUGGUGGACAAUCAGCUGGACAUGAGCUUCCAGUGUAACACUGGCCAGAAGGGCUAAUGCCAUCCUGGGAGCACAAACAGGAGAAUCUCGAGUAGGAGCAGAGAGGUUAUUGUGCCUGUGUUUGGCACUGGUGCGACUGCUGCUGGGAUCCUGUAUCCAGGUCUGAUGCCCACAAUUCAAGGAGGGGGUUGAUAAAUUGGAGAGGGGUCAGAGAAGAGCCGCAAGAAUGAUUAAAAGAUUACAAAACGUAUAGCGAUAGACUCAAAGAGCUCAAUCUAAUCCUUUUAAGGGAAAGCUAAGAAGUAACUUGAUUUAUUUAUUUAUUUGUCGUACGUAAUCUGGUCAAGCCAAGCCCCAGUGUCCUUAUCAACACUGUUUGAGGCAUGAAGACUCCCGGAAGUUUAGUCAUUUUGCAUCCUCAGCAAUGUUGCUGCCCACACUGACAGAGUGACUGGCUCUAAAACACCACUGAAAUUCUGCUGCAGCACAAAUUCUACAUCCAGUAUGAAAGCAGUUGAGAAGGCUCUAUUGCUUUGGGAGGGGAGGGAUAGCUCAGUGGUUUGAGCACUCACCUGCUUAAACCCAGGGUUGUGAAUUCAAUCCUUGAAAGGGUAAUCUGGGCCAAAAAUUGGUCCUGCUAGUGAAGGCAGAGGGCUGGACUCAAUGACCUUUCAAGAUCCCUUCCAGUUCUAGGAGAUUGGUAUAUCUUCAAUUAUUAGCUUUGCCUUUGUGGUAAAUCAAACCUGGGUUGAUGUUAAGUGGGGUCAGAGACAAGCUAAUUAUUUGUCACUUUCUCUGCCAACCAUGAAGCUCGCCACACAUCCUCUACUGUAAAUCCCUCACUUGGUAAACUUACCCACAGUGGACACCAUGAGGGCAGAUGACCAUGUGGCAGAUUAAACAAGUCUUUAGUUGAUGGUAGAUGUGGCAUAUCACACAAUUUCAUCAUAAGCUUUGCUACACUUUUCUCUCUACAAACACUGGGUGGAGCAAUAUUGCAGAGAACCAGUAAUCAUGGCUGAGGAGUAUAUUUAAGUGUACCCGAAAUAAUAUGCAUGGUGGAAUUAAGUCGUAUGUUGAUCGUUGUUGCGUGAGACGAGCGAGCCCAGACUGGAGCGCAGUGCUCUGCCAAUGAGUGCCAAGGCUAAUGUGUGUAAUGUUUGGGCACUGGUGCCCCAUGGCGUUCUGGCCAGCUUUCUGAGCAGUUGUGUGUUUUGACCCUAUUUGCUGUUUUUGUAAGAUGAUCACAAUAUGUAAAAGGGGGAUUGUGGCAGGGUGGACUUAGGUCCAGGAGCCCCUGCUGGAGGCCCUGCCGCCCUGUGUCACCCUGCCCCAGAAUAGAGCAGUGAGGAGUCCUCCAGGCAGCCUAGAGCGGCUGCAGAGGAGUGGCCAAUCAGAGGGGCUGCUGGACCGACCAAUAAGGGACCAGAAGGGUCAGAUAAAAGGCAAUCAGCAGACCAGAGCCUUCAUUGCUGUGUGGAGC
This is a long non-coding RNA of Gopherus flavomarginatus (Mexican gopher tortoise), 2258 nucleotides long. RefSeq lists it as uncharacterized. The transcript is spliced from 3 exons. The record is from RefSeq and is a predicted model, not a curated record. NCBI's taxonomy places the organism in Eukaryota, Metazoa, Chordata, Testudines, Testudinidae.